This 252-nucleotide ribosomal RNA is filed under the name uncultured bacterium. RNAcentral describes it as "partial 16S ribosomal RNA". It matches the Rfam family "Bacterial small subunit ribosomal RNA", at positions 524 to 776 of the family's 1533-position model. The record is from RNAcentral.
UACGAAGGGGGCUAGCGUUGCUCGGAAUGACUGGGCGUAAAGGGCGCGUAGGCGGUUCGUACAGUCAGACGUGAAAUUCCCGGGCUCAACCUGGGGGCUGCGUUUGAUACGUGCGGGCUUGAGUUCGGAAGAGGGUCGUGGAAUUCCCAGUGUAGAGGUGAAAUUCGUAGAUAUUGGGAAGAACACCGGUGGCGAAGGCGGCGACCUGGUCCGAUACUGACGUGAGGCGCGAAAGCGUGGGGAGCAAACAGG